UUGUGAGAGCAAGAGCCCGGAGAUGGAUUCUGAGACACGAAUCCAGGUCGUACGGGGCGCAGCAGGCGCGAAAACUUUACACUGCGCGAAAGCGCGAUAAGGGGACCUCGAGUGCGUGCGCAAUGCGUACGCUUUUCAGAUGCCUAAAAAGCAUCUGGAAUAAGGGCCGGGCAAGACCGGUGCCAGCCGCCGCGGUAACACCGGCGGCUCAAGUGGUGGCCGCUAUUAUUGGGCUUAAAGGGUCCGUAGCCGGACCAGUUAGUCCCUUGGGAAAUCUUACGGCUUAACCGUAAGGCUGCCAAUGGAUACUGCUGGUCUUGGGACCGGGAGAGGCAAGAGGUACCUCAGGGGUAGGAGUGAAACCCUGUAAUCCUUGAGGGACCGCCAGUGGCGAAGGCGUCUUGCUAGAACGGGUCCGACGGUGAGGGACGAAAGCUAGGGGCACGAACCGGAUUAGAUACCCGGGUAGUCCUAGCCGUAAACGAUGCGAGCUAGGUGUCACGUGGAUUGCGAAUCCAUGUGGUGCCGAAGGGAAACCGUGAAGCUCGCCGCCUGGGAAGUACGGCCGCAAGGAAAGAAACUUAAAGGAAUUGGCGGGGGAGCAC
RNAcentral lists this ribosomal RNA (605 nucleotides) under uncultured euryarchaeote. Its description in RNAcentral is "bacterial SSU rRNA". It matches the Rfam family "Archaeal small subunit ribosomal RNA", at positions 274 to 879 of the family's 1478-position model. Lineage: Archaea; Methanobacteriati; Methanobacteriota. The record is from RNAcentral.